UACGGAGGAUGCAAGCGUUAUCCGGAAUGAUUGGGCGUAAAGCGUCCGCAGGUGGCUGUGUAAGUCUGCUGUUAAAGAGUGAGGCUCAACCUCAUAAAAGCAGUGGAAACUACACAGCUAGAGUGCGUUCGGGGCAGAGGGAAUUCCUGGUGUAGCGGUGAAAUGCGUAGAGAUCAGGAAGAACACCGGUGGCGAAGGCGCUCUGCUAGGCCGCAACUGACACUGAGGGACGAAAGCUAGGGGAGCAAACGGG
RNAcentral lists this ribosomal RNA (253 nucleotides) under uncultured bacterium. RNAcentral's name for it is "partial 16S ribosomal RNA". It matches the Rfam family "Bacterial small subunit ribosomal RNA", at positions 524 to 776 of the family's 1533-position model. The record is from RNAcentral.